RNAcentral lists this ribosomal RNA (462 nucleotides) under Triticum aestivum (bread wheat). Its description in RNAcentral is "partial small subunit ribosomal RNA". The record is from RNAcentral. Lineage: Eukaryota; Viridiplantae; Streptophyta; Magnoliopsida; Poales; Poaceae.
CUGAAACUGUAGCCAUACGCACAGUCGACCGUCGCAAACUGCCCAUGCCGCAAGCUGUCCUACAAGUUCUUCAUGCCGUUUGAAGUAACAGAGUGGAUUGGGACUUUGGCAUAUCGCCUGCAGUUGCCUCCAGACAGCCGUAUCCAUCUGGUAUUUCACAUCUCCCAGCUCAAACCCUUCACCCCAGAUUAUACCCCAGUCUUCACCGAGCUACCGCGGGUGCCUGAUCUCUCUGGGGGUGAAACGGAGCCUGUGGUGAUCGUGGAGCGGAGGAUGAUGAAGAAGGGCGAUGCACCAGUUGUGCAACUCCGUGUCCAAUGGGAAAACAUGCCACCAUCAGCCACCACUUGGGAAGAUUACGCCGUUCUUCGCCAGCGCUACCCAUCAGCCUGCAUGUGGGAAGGAGCUUCAUCUCAAGGGGAGGACAAUGUCGCGCCUACUGAUGCAUCAGUAGCGGACUAA